RNAcentral lists this ribosomal RNA (518 nucleotides) under uncultured bacterium. RNAcentral describes it as "bacterial SSU rRNA". It matches the Rfam family "Archaeal small subunit ribosomal RNA", at positions 345 to 866 of the family's 1478-position model. The record is from RNAcentral.
AAACUUCACAAUGGAGGCAACUCCGAUGAGGGAAUUCCAAGUGCUAGCACAUUAGUGUUAGCUUUUCUUAAGCAUAGAUAACUUAAGGAAUAAGGGCUGGGUAAGACGGGUGCCAGCCGCCGCGGUAAUACCCGCAGCCCAAGAGGUGGUCGAUUUUAUUGAGUCUAAAACGUUCGUAGCCGGUUCAUUAAAUCCUUGGGUAAAUCGGAUGGCUUAACUACCCGAAUUCCGGGGAGACUGGUGAACUUGGGACCGGGAGAGGCAAGAGGUACUUUUGGGGUAGGGGUAAAAUCCUGUAAUCCUAAAAGGACCACCGGUGGCGAAGGCGUCUUGCUAGAACGGAUCCGACGGUGAGGGACGAAGCCCUGGGUCGCAAACGGGAUUAGAUACCCCGGUAGUCCAGGUGUAAACGCUGCAGACUUGGUGUUGGGGACCCUUCGGGGGUGUUCAGUGCCGGAGAGAAGUUGUUAAGUCGGCCACUUGGGGAGUACGUCCGCAAGGAUGAAACUUAAGGAAUU